RNAcentral lists this ribosomal RNA (114 nucleotides) under uncultured bacterium. RNAcentral's name for it is "partial 16S ribosomal RNA". It matches the Rfam family "Bacterial small subunit ribosomal RNA", at positions 1369 to 1482 of the family's 1533-position model. The record is from RNAcentral.
CGUUCCAGGGUCUUGUACACACCGCCCGUCACACCAUGGGAGCGGGUUUUACCAGAAGUAGGUAGCUUAACCGCAAGGGGGGCGCUUACCACGGUAGGAUUCGUGACUGGGGUG